CUUUCCAGAGAUGGAUUGGUGCCUUCGGGAACUCUGAGACAGGUGCUGCAUGGCUGUCGUCAGCUCGUGUUGUGAAAUGUUGGGUUAAGUCCCGCAACGAGCGCAACCCUUAUCCUUUGUUGCCAGCGGUUAGGCCGGGAACUCAAAGGAGACUGCCAGUGAUAAACUGGAGGAAGGUGGGGAUGACGUCAAGUCAUCAUGGCCCUUACGAGUAGGGCUACACACGUGCUACAAUGGCGCAUACAAAGAGAAGCGACCUCGCGAGAGCAAGCGGACCUCAUAAAGUGCGUCGUAGUCCGGAUUGGAGUCUGCAACUCGACUCCAUGAAGUCGGAAUCGCUAGUAAUCGUGGAUCAGAAUGCCACGGUGAAUACGUUCCCGGGCCUUGUACACACCGCCCGUCACACCAUGGGAGUGGGUUGCAAAAGAAGUAGGUAGCUUAACCUUCGGGAGGGCGCUUACCACUUUGUGAUUCAUGACUGGGGUGAAGUCGUAACAAGGUAGGCGUAGUGCU
Molecule: ribosomal RNA, 513 nt
Filed under: uncultured bacterium
Lineage: Bacteria
Description: bacterial SSU rRNA
Rfam family: Bacterial small subunit ribosomal RNA
Source: RNAcentral